AGUUAAACAGUACGUGAAAUUGUUGAAAGGGAAACGAUUGAAGCCAGUCGUACCUUCGGGUAAUCAGCCUUUCGGGUGCGAUUCUGUGAGGUGUGAGGAGUUAAACGCCUUCAUGUUUUGCAUAUUCGUGCUCUUGGGUGUACUUGCCCGUGUGGUUGGUUAACAUCAAUUUUGGACGCCAUAAAAUGACUGGAGGAAUGUAGCUUCGAUCUCGUAUUGAAGUGUUAUAGCCUUUGGUAGAUGUGGUUUUCGAGAUUGAGGAUUGCAACGUAUACCCUUCGGGGCUACCUAUCUGAUCUCUGAUCGUUGCUCUGGUGCCGAAAGCUUGCUUACGGAUAUCAAAGUCGAUGGUCAAUAGGUUAGAAUAGGUUAAAUUCGUUAAGGAUGUUGACGUAAUGGCUUUAAA
This 406-nucleotide unclassified non-coding RNA is filed under the name uncultured Rhizophagus. RNAcentral's name for it is "sequence contains 28S rRNA gene". The record is from RNAcentral. Lineage: Eukaryota; Fungi; Glomeromycota; Glomeromycetes; Glomerales; Glomeraceae.